GUUCCCUCCGAGACGGAUCCCGAGUAGUGCGGGGCACGUGAAACCCCGUAUGAAUCCGGCAGGACCAUCUGCCAAGGCUAAAUACUUCCUAGCGACCGAUAGUGAAGCAGUACCGUGAGGGAAAGGUGAAAAGCACCCCGGAAGGGGAGUGAAAUAGAACCUGAAACCGUGUGCUUACAAAAAGUCAGAGCCCGUUUUAGGGGUGAUGGCGUGCCUUUUGUAGAAUGAACCGGCGAGUUACGUUCCCGUGCAAGGUUAAGGUGAAGAGCCGGAGCCGCAGCGAAAGCGAGUCUGAAUAGGGCGACUUAGUACGUGGACGUAGACCCGAAACCGGGUGAUCUACCCCUGUCCAGGGUGAAGGUGCGGUAACACGCACUGGAGGCCCGAACCCACGCAUGUUGAAAAAUGCGGGGAUGAGGUGGGGGUAGCGGAGAAAUUCCAAUCGAACUCGGAGAUAGCUGGUUCUCCCCGAAAUAGCUUUAGGGCUAGCCUCGGAAAACAGAGUCGUGGAGGUAGAGCACUGAUUGGGUGCGGGGCCCGCAAGGGUUACCAAGCUCAGUCAAACUCCGAAUGCCAUAGACUUACUUCCGGGAGUCAGACAGUGAGUGCUAAGAUCCAUUGUCAAAAGGGAAACAGCCCAGACCAUCAGCUAAGGUCCCCAAGUGUGUGUUAAGUGGGAAAGGAUGUGGAGUUGCACAGACAACCAGGAUGUUGGCUUAGAAGCAGCCACCAUUGAAAGAGUGCGUAAUAGCUCACUGGUCGAGUGACUCUGCGCCGAAAAUGUAACGGGGCUAAACACACCACCGAAGCUAUGGCUUGAUGCUUUGCAUCAGGGGUAGGGGAGCGUUGUAUAAGGGUUGAAGGUGUACCGUAAGGAGCGCUGGACAUUAUACAAGUGAGAAUGCCGGUAUGAGUAACGAAAAGAUCAGUGAGAAUCUGAUCCGCCGAAAGCCUAAGGGUUCCUGAGGAAGGCUCGUCCGCUCAGGGUAAGUCGGGACCUAAGGCGAGGCCGAAAGGCGUAGUCGAAGGACAACAGGUCGAAAUUCCUGUACCACCGUAAGCCGUUAUGAGCAAUGGGGGGACGCAGCAGGGUAGUGACGCGGACUGAUGGAUGUCCGUCUAAGCAGUGAGGCUGAUGUGUAGGCAAAUCCGCACAUCGUAAGGCUGG
RNAcentral lists this ribosomal RNA (1168 nucleotides) under Paenibacillus sp. 11B. Its description in RNAcentral is "partial 23S ribosomal RNA". It matches the Rfam family "Bacterial large subunit ribosomal RNA", at positions 389 to 1559 of the family's 2925-position model. The record is from RNAcentral. Lineage: Bacteria; Bacillati; Bacillota; Bacilli; Caryophanales; Paenibacillaceae.